RNAcentral lists this unclassified non-coding RNA (347 nucleotides) under Hevea brasiliensis (rubber tree). Lineage: Eukaryota; Viridiplantae; Streptophyta; Magnoliopsida; Malpighiales; Euphorbiaceae. The record is from RNAcentral.
CUUCUGCUUUGUAAUUAUAAUUAUGUCGGCUAAAUUGGUAAAUUCAGGCUGCAGCUGCAGGUUGAGGUUGAAAACAUGAAAAACGACAUGGCUUUGGCAUCCCACCAAAUAAGGGAAGAUGUUAACUGCGCAGUUGAGACUCGGUUGGCCUUGUUCUGUUUCAUUUUCAUUCUCUUCAAUCAGGCGGUUAUUACCACGCCCCCUUCCCUCGUUUGCUUCGCCUCUGUUUCUCCCCUUAUACUCUUGUUCAUUUCUGCCUGUUUCCCUCACUUUCGCUUUGCUUUCUCAGCUCUUUCUUACUCUGAGAAAGCACAAUGACUUCUGCUUUCUCUGCCACCAAGUUCACU